UCCCUGGGACAGUUCAGUCAGUAGAGCAUGAGACCCUUAAUCUCAGGGUUGUGGGUUCAAGCCCCAUGCUGGGUGAA
Molecule: non-coding RNA, 77 nt
Organism: Podarcis lilfordi (Lilford's wall lizard)
Lineage: Eukaryota; Metazoa; Chordata; Lepidosauria; Squamata; Lacertidae
Source: the annotation of a GenBank genome assembly